AGCGAACGCUGGCGGCAGGCCUAACACAUGCAAGUCGAACGAACCUUUCGGGGUUAGUGGCGGACGGGGGAGUAACACGUGGGAACGUGCCUUUAGGUUCGGAAUAACUCAGGGAAACUUGUGCUAAUACCGAAUGUGCCCUUCGGGGGAAAGAUUUAUCGCCUUUAGAGCGGCCCGCGUCCGAUUAGCUAGUUGGUUGAGGUAAUGGCUCACCAAGGCGACGAUCAGUAGCUGGUCUGAGAGGAUGAUCAGCCACAUUGGGACUGAGACACGGCCCAAACUCCUACGGGAGGCAGCAGUGGGGAAUCUUGCGCAAUGGGCGAAAGCCUGACGCAGCCAUGCCGCGUGAAUGAUGAAGGUCUUAGGAUUGUAAAAUUCUUUAACCGGGGACGAUAAUGACGGUACCCGGAGAAGAAGCCCCGGCUAACUUCGUG
Molecule: ribosomal RNA, 434 nt
Filed under: uncultured bacterium
Lineage: Bacteria
Description: partial 16S ribosomal RNA
Rfam family: Bacterial small subunit ribosomal RNA
Source: RNAcentral